Molecule: ribosomal RNA, 292 nt
Filed under: uncultured bacterium
Lineage: Bacteria
Description: partial 16S ribosomal RNA
Rfam family: Bacterial small subunit ribosomal RNA
Source: RNAcentral
GUGCCAGCAGCCGCGGUAAGACGGGGGAGGCAAGCGUUGUCCGGAAUUAUUGGGCGUAAAGAGCGCGUAGGUGGUUUGUAAAGUCAUUUGUGAAAACUUUAGGCUUAACUUAAAGACUGCAAGUGAUACUGACAAACUUGAGUACAGUAGAGGAAAGUGGAAUUCCUGGUGUAGCGGUGAAAUGCGCAGAUAUCAGGAAGAACACCAGUGGCGAAGGCGGCUUUCUGGGCUGUUACUGACACUGAGGCGCGAAAGCUAGGGGAGCGAACAGGAUUAGAAACCCUCGUAGUCC